CAACGAGUCGAGUUGUUUGGGAAUGCAGCUCUAAAUGGGUGGUAAAUUUCAUCUAAAGCUAAAUAUUGGCCAGAGACCGAUAGCGCACAAGUAGAGUGAUCGAAAGAUGAAAAGCACUUUGGAAAGAGAGUUAAACAGUACGUGAAAUUGUUGAAAGGGAAGCGCUGGCAACCAGACUUGGGCGCUGUUGAUCCGCUAGGGUUCUCUCUAGGGCACUCGGCAGCGCGCAGGCCAGCAUCGGUUUGGGGGGUUGGAGAAUGGCUGGUGGAAUGUGGCUGUCUUCGGGCAGUGUUAUAGCCACCGGUGGCAUGCAGCCUCCCCGGACCGAGGACCGCGCUUCGGCUAGGAUGCUGGCGUAAUGGUUGUCAGCGACCCGUCUUGAAACACGGACCAAGGAGUCUAACAUCUAUGCGAGUGUUUGGGUGUUAAACCCAUACGCGGAAUGAAAGUGAACGUAGGUGAGAACCCGUAAGGGUGCAUCAUCGACCGAUCCUGAUGUCUUCGGAUGGAUUUGAGUAAGAGCAUAGCUGUUGGGACCCGAAAGAUGGUGAACUAUGCCUGAAUAGGGUGAAGCCAGAGGA
RNAcentral lists this ribosomal RNA (581 nucleotides) under Podosphaera thermopsidicola. RNAcentral's name for it is "Podosphaera sp. SKV-2019 partial large subunit ribosomal RNA". It matches the Rfam family "Eukaryotic large subunit ribosomal RNA", at positions 258 to 859 of the family's 3401-position model. Lineage: Eukaryota; Fungi; Ascomycota; Leotiomycetes; Helotiales; Erysiphaceae. The record is from RNAcentral.